GAUGAACGCUGGCGGCGUGCUUAACACAUGCAAGUCGAACGAUGAAGCUGGAGCUUGCUCUGGUGGAAUAGUGGCGAACGGGUGAGUAACACGUGAGCAACCUGCCCCUGACUCUGGGAUAACAGCCGGAAACGGCUGCUAAUACCGGAUAUGCACCAUGAACGCAUGUUCUGUGGUGGGAAAGAUUUUUCGGUUGGGGAUGGGCUCGCGGCCUAUCAGCUUGUUGGUGAGGUAAUGGCUCACCAAGGCGUCGACGGGUAGCCGGCCUGAGAGGGUGACCGGCCACACUGGGACUGAGACACGGCCCAGACUCCUACGGGAGGCAGCAGUGGGGAAUAUUGCACAAUGGGCGAAAGCCUGAUGCAGCAACGCCGCGUGAGGGAUGACGGCCUUCGGGUUGUAAACCUCUUUUAGCAGGGAAGAAGCGAGAGUGACGGUACCUGCAGAAAAAGCGCCGGCUAACUACGUG
Molecule: ribosomal RNA, 469 nt
Filed under: uncultured bacterium
Lineage: Bacteria
Description: partial 16S ribosomal RNA
Rfam family: Bacterial small subunit ribosomal RNA
Source: RNAcentral